This 1024-nucleotide ribosomal RNA is filed under the name Salmonella enterica subsp. enterica serovar Indiana. RNAcentral describes it as "partial 23S ribosomal RNA". It matches the Rfam family "Bacterial large subunit ribosomal RNA", at positions 711 to 1733 of the family's 2925-position model. The record is from RNAcentral. Lineage: Bacteria; Pseudomonadati; Pseudomonadota; Gammaproteobacteria; Enterobacterales; Enterobacteriaceae.
AGACCCGAAACCCGGUGAUCUAGCCAUGGGCAGGUUGAAGGUUGGGUAACACUAACUGGAGGACCGAACCGACUAAUGUUGAAAAAUUAGCGGAUGACCUGUGGCUGGGGGUGAAAGGCCAAUCAAACCGGGAGAUAGCUGGUUCUCCCCGAAAGCUAUUUAGGUAGCGCCUCGUGAAUUCAUCUCCGGGGGUAGAGCACUGUUUCGGCUAGGGGGCCAUCCCGGCUUACCAACCCGAUGCAAACUGCGAAUACCGGAGAAUGUUAUCACGGGAGACACACGGCGGGUGCUAACGUCCGUCGUGAAGAGGGAAACAACCCAGACCGCCAGCUAAGGUCCCAAAGUCAUGGUUAAGUGGGAAACGAUGUGGGAAGGCCCAGACAGCCAGGAUGUUGGCUUAGAAGCAGCCAUCAUUUAAAGAAAGCGUAAUAGCUCACUGGUCGAGUCGGCCUGCGCGGAAGAUGUAACGGGGCUAAACCAUGCACCGAAGCUGCGGCAGCGACACUGUGUGUUGUUGGGUAGGGGAGCGUUCUGUAAGCCUGCGAAGGUGGCCUGUGAGGGUUGCUGGAGGUAUCAGAAGUGCGAAUGCUGACAUAAGUAACGAUAAAGCGGGUGAAAAGCCCGCUCGCCGGAAGACCAAGGGUUCCUGUCCAACGUUAAUCGGGGCAGGGUGAGUCGACCCCUAAGGCGAGGCCGAAAGGCGUAGUCGAUGGGAAACGGGUUAAUAUUCCCGUACUUGGUGUUACUGCGAAGGGGGGACGGAGAAGGCUAUGUUGGCCGGGCGACGGUUGUCCCGGUUUAAGCGUGUAGGUGUGUGUUCCAGGUAAAUCCGGUUCACUUUAACACUGAGGCGUGACGACGAGGCACUACGGUGCUGAAGCAACAAAUGCCCUGCUUCCAGGAAAAGCCUCUAAGCAUCAGGUAACAUCAAAUCGUACCCCAAACCGACACAGGUGGUCAGGUAGAGAAUACCAAGGCGCUUGAGAGAACUCGGGUGAAGGAACUAGGCAAAAUGGUGCCGUAA